This 4471-nucleotide long non-coding RNA is filed under the name Xyrichtys novacula (pearly razorfish). The record is from RNAcentral. Lineage: Eukaryota; Metazoa; Chordata; Actinopteri; Labriformes; Labridae.
GGGUUGGGGGAUGGGGGGGGGGGGAUGUGGAUUCUUUUAAGAAUGUGGAUAUUUGGGUCAUCUUUGGCGCCCCCUAGAACGUAAAGCGUGGGGUGCAGCGUCAUGAUUUUUACAACUUUGAAUGACCAUGGGGUGUAGAUUGGCCUGAGCAAAUUUGGUGUCAGUGGGACGAAAGCCUUAGGAGGAGUUAGCCACAUUCCAAUGUGUGCGAAUCGGCAAAAAAUGCAAAAUAGCCCUUUAACCGUACAUUUGACAGAUACGCGCGCAUUGACUUUUUUGUAGAUCUUAUUGAGAUACAUGUGAUUGUCAAAUUUUGUGUCAAUAUGAUAAAGCGUACAGGCGUGACAGUCAAUAGUGUGAAUUUCCACCUUAGGGGACAAGAAAAAAUUGACUUUUUUCUCCUGCCAUGGGGGGCGCUCUUUUGGGGAGUAAAAAUUCCUUCACAAAUGUGUUGAUGGCUGGACAUUGCAUCAUCCUAGAAAACUUGGAGGCCAGUGAGGACAAAAAUAAAAAGUUAUAAGACUUUUAAAUAUGUGGAUUUUAGGGUUAUCUUUGGCGCCCCCUAGAACCUAAACCGUGGGGUGCAGCGUCAUGAUUUGAAUAACUUUUAAUGGCCAUGGGGUGUAGAUUGGCCUGAGCAAAUGUGGUGCCGGUGGAAUGAAAGCCUUCGGAGGAGUUAGCGAAAUUCCAAUGUGUGCGGAUCGGCAAAAAAUGCGGAAUAACCCUUUAACCGUACAUUUGACAGAUACGCGCCCAUUGACUUUUUCGUAGAUCUUAUUGAGAUACAUGUGUGUGUCAAUUUUUGUGUCAUUUUGCCAAAGCGUACAGGUGUUACACUCAACAAUGUGUAUUUUCACCUUAGGGGACAAGAAAAAAUGGACUUUUUUCUCCUGCCAUGGGGGGGCGCUCUUUUGGGGAGUAAAAAUUCCUUCACAAAUGUGUUGAUGGCUGGACAUUGCAUCAUCCUAGAAAACUUGGAGGCCAGUGAGGGCAAAAAUAAAAAGUUAUAAGACUUUUAAAUAUGUGGAUCUUAGGGUUAUCUUUGGCGCCCCCUAGAACCUAAACCGUGGGGUGCAGCGUCAUGAUUUGAAUAACUUUUAAUGGCCAUGGGGUGUAGAUUGGCCUGAGCAAAUGUGGUGCCGGUGGAACGAAAGCCUUUGGAGGAGUUAGCGAAAUUCCAAUGUGUGCGGAUCGGCAAAAAAUGCGAAAUAACCCUUUAACCGUACAUUUGACAGAUACGCCCGCACUGACUUUUUUGUAGAUCUUAUUGAGAUACAUGUGUGUGUCAAUUUUUGUGUCAUUUUGACAAAGCGUACAGGCGUGACAGUCAAUAGUGUGAAUUUUCACCUUAGGGGGCGCUAUGGAGCCAUUUUGCAUUUUCUUGUUUGGGCGACUUCGGAAUAUAAAAUUUUUCACCAGGCCCGGUCGUCCUGCCAAAUUUCAUGAGUUUUCGCCAGUGGGAAGUGGGCCAUUUUCCAGUUCAAAGGGGAGGAAAAAUAAUAAUAACAAAAGAAGGAAACUACAGGAACAAGAGGGCUCUCGCAGCUGCUUAGCAGCUACGCUCGGGCCCUAACUAGGACCCCGUUGGGGCACUGGCGGGCCCGAGCCGUGUCGCGUCCCCCCCCCCCACCCAACGUGCUGCCUCCCCGUCCCAUUUGUGUCCUCUGGCCAUCGCCCUCUCUGGUAACGCCCAUCACUGCAAAGACCCUUUUCCUUCAUCGGCGUUUGCUGUUCUUCCUGCCAGUGCGUGUUGCUUUCACUUACACUUGCCACAGCCAGCCUCGUGUGUGCCUAGCCUAUUGUAUAUCACUGUCACCUACACAGGACAGUCAUUACCUUUCUAUUAAUACUUUGUGUUUUAAUUUCACAUUAAUUUCCAUAUUGUAUAAACGACUGGAAAAAACUUGAGCCCCUGCCCCUGUAUAAUCAUGUGCAUGUCUCUGUUCUAGCUCCAAGGUGAAUCUUCACUGCUCAUGUUCUCCUCAGAAGCACUCACCUCACUCCCCUCAGGUUACUGUACACAUGCACCAACUGCCUGCUUCAGGUUUGGAUGGAGCUUCAUGGUUGUCUUUUGGAGAAAUGACCAGUCAAGUUGUGUUUGAAAUUUGAUUUUUUUCAGGGGCAAAAGGAGCCUCUGCAUUCUUGUCAAAUAUGUAAAUAGCAUGUUUUUGCAGGUGCUAAAAACCAGACUCUGAGUGUGUGUGUGUGUGUGUGUGUGUGUGUGUGUGUGUGUGUGUGUGUGUGUGUGUGUGUGAGUGUGUGUGUGUCUGUGUGUGCGUUCAAGUCACAUGACAUAUUUAAUCGGAUGUAGCGGCAAGACGGAGCCUCGUUGACUCUCCGUUUCAACUUAUCUCAAAAGUGAGGACCUCAACCUAUAUACCAGUUUUUAAAUUGUGUUGAUAGGCCAAAUAAAACCAGAGUUAUGAUAAAUUAUGUCCGCGAUACUUUUUUUCUGCUUAUUUUGAUCACGUUCGGCGCUCGAUCGCGCUGUAUGAGACAGGAAAACAUAGCAUGCAGACAUUAGCGACAGGUCUUACAGGCGGAAAAGGCUUGCCAAAAGAAAAAAAAAACACACCACAACAUCUCUCCUAUUGGUGGAAAACUUCACCACAACAACCAAUCCAAAAUUAUAUGGUGACUGAUUGACAAGGGGCGGGCGCUUACGUUCUUCCUGCAACAUGAGAAGGGAGGGAGGGACUCUCAGCAGGGAUGCAGUCUGGGACACGUAGUUGCAAACCUAGCGACUUUGUUGUUAGAUUCAAUGACUUUUCAGACCCCCUAACGACUUUUUUUUAGAAAGAAAGGGACUUUUAUCGACUUCUUCUGGAGUUUAGAGACUCUGACAUGAAGCAGGCUUUCCUUACUGAGGAGUUAGCAACGCUGCUAAGGGUGCAGAGCCACACAUGCGCUCAGAGCUCUGCAUGGGAGACUGAAGCUGACAGAGCUGCAGCAGUUAGCAGGUUUCACCCUCAGAGACCACCAGGGGUUCAUGUUGAGGCAUUUUAAAUUUUUUUUUUUUUUUGUGCCAUAGACACUGUCAGCACAAUCUGCAGUUACACUAACAAAAAUGCUGCAAAAAACAAAGAAUUAUGGAAAAAUUACACAUGGACUGACAUAGAGGAGGAUCUACACAAGUUUUUUACAUCAUGUUUUACAUCAUGCAUCAUUUACAUCAUGUUUUUUUGUAGUGGCAUAAAUAAAAAGUGACAUUUGUGAGACUAUACAGUGUUUUGUAAAUAAUUUUACAAAGAACGCCUGGGCCAUUGCCUGCAUUUUGAUGAAAAUAGAGGUAAAUCACUAUGUUCUUUGUUAAAAAUUUGCAUAUGUUUUGAAGUUUACAAUUUUUAUUUGAAGUUUAAGUUUUAAAAACAGUUCAUCACACAUAUUUGUGGUUUUCACAGUAAAAAUGUUACUUUUUUCCACUCGGAUUUUAUGUUUUGUGUGUGAAUUUGGGUCCAUUGUGUAAAUUCAGUAUGUCAACAUGAUAAAAUAACUGUAAAUUCGCACAGGUGAGGUUGUGCUGAAAAAAAUGAUACCAGGCAAGGCACGUGAUUGUCAAAUUUUGUGUCAAUAUGACAAAGCGUAUAGGCGUGAAUCUCAACAAUAUGUAUUUUCACCUUAGGGGACAAGAAAAAAUGGACUUUUUUCUCCUGCCAUGGGGGGGCGCUCUUUUGGGGAGUAAAAAUUCCUUCACAAAUGUGUUGAUGGCUGGACAUUGCAUCAUCCUAGAAAACUUGGAGGCCAGUGAGGACAAAAAUAAAAAGUUAUAAGACUUUGAAAUAUGUGGAUUUUAGGGUUAUCUUUGGCGCCCCCUAGAACCUAAACCGUGGGGUGCAGCGUCAUGAUUUGAAUAACUUUUAAUGGCCAUGGGGUGUAGAUUGUCCUGAGCAAAUGUGGUGCCGGUGGAACGAAAGCCUUAGGAGGAGUUAGCCACAUUCCAAUGUGUGCGGAUCGGCAAAAAAUGCGGAAUAACCCUUUAACCGUACAUUUGACAGAUACGCGCGCAUUGACUUUUUCGUAGAUCUUAUUGAGUUACAUGUGUGUGUCAAUUUUUGUGUCAUUUUGACAAAGCGUAUAGGCGUGACACUCAACAAUGUGUAUUUUUACCUUAGGGAACAAGAAAAAAUGGACUUUUUUCUCCUGCCAUGGGGGGCGCUCUUUUGGGGAGUAAAAAUUCCUUCACAAAUGUGUUGAUGGCUGUACAUUGCAUCAUCCUAGAAAACUUGGAGGCCAGUGAGGACAAAAAUAAAAAGUUAUAAGACUUUUAAAUAUGUGGAUUUUAGUGUUAUCUUUGGCGCCCCCUAGAACCUAAACCUUGGGGUGCAGCGUCAUGAUUUUGAUAACUUUUAAUGGCCACGGGGUGUAGAUUGGCCUGAGCAAAUGUGGUGCCGGUGGAACGAAAGCCUUCGGAGGAGUUAGCGAAAUUCCAAUGUGUGCGGAUCGGAAAAAAAUGCGAAAUAACCCUUUAACC